GGGGAUGUAGCUCAUCUGGUAGAGCGCAGCAAUCGCACUGCUGAGGUAAGGGGUUCGAGUCCCCUCAUCUCCAC
This 74-nucleotide transfer RNA is filed under the name Tengunoibacter tsumagoiensis. RNAcentral describes it as "tRNA-Ala". It matches the Rfam family "tRNA". From Rfam's summary of the family: Transfer RNA (tRNA) molecules are approximately 80 nucleotides in length. The record is from RNAcentral. Lineage: Bacteria; Bacillati; Chloroflexota; Ktedonobacteria; Ktedonobacterales; Dictyobacteraceae.